RNAcentral lists this ribosomal RNA (429 nucleotides) under Bacteroidota bacterium. Its description in RNAcentral is "Bacteroidetes bacterium partial 16S ribosomal RNA". It matches the Rfam family "Bacterial small subunit ribosomal RNA", at positions 355 to 776 of the family's 1533-position model. The record is from RNAcentral. Lineage: Bacteria; Pseudomonadati; Bacteroidota.
UAGGGAAUCUUCCGCAAUGGACGCAAGUCUGACGGAGCAACGCCGCGUGAGUGAAGAAGGCUUUCGGUUCGUAAAACUCUGUUGUUAGAGAAGAACAGCGCAUAGAGUAACUGUUAUGCGUGUGACGGUAUCUAACCAGAAAGCCACGGCUAACUACGUGCCAGCAGCCGCGGUAAUACGUAGGUGGCAAGCGUUGUCCGGAUUUAUUGGGCGUAAAGCGAGCGCAGGCGGUCAAUUAAGUCUGAUGUGAAAGCCCCCGGCUCAACCGGGGAGGGUCAUUGGAAACUGGUUGACUUGAGUGCAGAAGAGGAGAGUGGAAUUCCAUGUGUAGCGGUGAAGUGCGUAGAUAUAUGGAGGAACACCAGUGGCGAAGGCGACUCUCUGGUCUGUAACUGACGCUGAGGCUCGAAAGCGUGGGUAGCAAACAGG